CAGCUGCAAAAUUAGCUAAAAAUGUAAAAUAAAAAGUUAGCAUGCUGAUAUAAGCAAGCUAACAUUUAGCAUGUGUUAAGUAUCAAGUUAUAGGACUCUAAAGUGUUCGGCUGCAAAAUAAGUUAAAAAAAAAAGUAAACAUGCUAACACAGGCAUGCUAGUAUGAGCAUGUUAACAGUUAAUGUGUGUCAAAUUUUAAACUAUACGACUCUUAGCUGUACGGCUGCGAAAUUAGCUAAAAAUGUAAAAUAAAAAGUUAGCAUGCUGAUAUGAGCAUGCUAACAUUUAGCAUGUGUUAACUAUCAAGUUAUAUGACUAAGGUGAACGGCUGCAAAAUUAGCUAAACAUUUUCAAUAAAAUGUUAGCAUGUGUCAAGUAUUAAAUUUAAUGACUAAAUGUGUACGCUGCAAAAUUAGUUAAAAAUGUAAAAUUAAAAGUUAGCAUGCUAGCAUGGUAACAGUUAACAUGUGUCAAGUAUCAAACUAUAUGACUAAGGUGUAUGGCAGCAAAAUUAGCUAGUCACAUAAAAUAAAAACUUAGCAUGCUAAUAUGAGCAUGCCAACAGUUAAUAUGUGUCAAAUAUUAAACUAUAUGACUCUUAGCUGUACAGCUGCAAAAUUAGCUAAAAAUGUAAAAUAAAAAGUUAGCAUGCUGAUAUAAGCAUGCUAACAUUUAGCAUGUGUUAAGUAUCAAGUUAUAGGACUCUAAUGUGUUCGGCUCCAAAAUAAGCUAAAAAUGUAAAAUAAAAAGUUAGCAUGCUGAUAUAAGCAUGGUAACAUUUAGCAUGUGUUAAGUAUCAAGUUAUAGGACUCUAAAGUAUUCGGCUGCAAAAUAAGCUAAAAAAAAAGUAAACAUGCUAACACAGGCAUGCUAGUAUGAGCAUGUUAACAGUUAAUGUGUGUCAAAUAUUAAACUAUAUGACUCUUAGCUGUACGGCUGCGAAAUUAGCUAAAAAUGUAAAAUAAAAAGUUAGCAUGCUGAUACAAGCAUGCUAACAUUUAGUGGGUGCUAACUAUCAAGUUAUAUGAUUAAGGUGUACGGCUGCAAAAUUAGCUAAACAUUUUCAGUAAAAUGUUAACAUGUGUGAAGUAUUAAAUUAUAUGACUGAAUGUGUACGCUGCAAAAUUAGCUAAAAAUGUCAAAUUAAAAGAUAGCAUGCUAGCAUGGUAACAGUUAACAUGUGUCAAGUAUCAAACUAUAUGGCUAAGGUGUACAGCUGCAAAAUUAGCUAAAAAUUUAAAAUAAAAAGUUAGCAUGCUAAUAUAAGCAUGCUAGAAUGCUAACAUUUAGCAUGCGUAAAGUAUCAAGUUAUACGACUAUGUGUACGGCUGCAAAGUUGCUAAAAAAUUUAAAAUAUAAUGUUAGCAUGUGUCAUGUACCAAGUUAUAUGAUUAAGGUGUAUGGCUGCAAAAUUAGCUAAUCAUGUAAAAUAAAAAGUUAGCAUGCUGACAUAAGCAUGCUAACAUUUAGCAUGUGUUAAGUAUCAAGUUAUAGGACUCUAAUGUGUUCGGCUGCAAAAUAAGCUAAAAAAAAAGUAAACAUGCUAACAUAAGCAUGCUAGAAUGAGCAUGUUAACAUUCAAUAAGUGUAAAAUAUUAAACUAUAUGACUCUUAGCUGUACGGCUGCGAAAUUAGCUAAAAAUGUAAAAUAAAAAGUUAACAUGCUGAUACAAGCAUGCUAACAUUUAGCAUGUGUUAACUAUCAAGUUAUAUGACUAAGGUGUACGGCUGCAAAAUUAGCUAAACAUUUUCAAUAAAAUGUUAGCAUGUGUCAAGUAUUAAAUUAUAUGACUAAAUGUGUACGGCUGCAAAAUUAGCUAAUAAUGUAAAAUUUAAAGUUAGCAUGCUAGCAUGGUAACAGUUAACGUGUCAAGUAUCAAACUAUAUGGCUAAGGUGUACAGCUGCAAAAUUAGCUAAAAAUUUAAAAUAAAAAGUUAGCAUACUAAUAUGAGCAUGCUAGAAUGCUAACAUUUAGCAUGCGUAAAGUAUCAAGUUAUACGACUCUGUGUACGGCUGCAAAGUUGCUAAAAAAAUUAAAAUAUAAUGUUAGCAUGUGUCAUGUACCAAGUUAUAUGACUAAGGUGUACGGCUGCAAAAUUAGCUAAACAUUUUCAAUAAAAUGUUAGCAUGUGUCAAGUAUUAAAUUAUAUGACUAAAUGUGUACGGCUGCAAAAUUGGCUAAUAAUGUAAAAUUUAAAGUUAGCAUGCUAGCAUGGUAACAGUUAACGUGUCAAGUAUCAAACUAUAUGGCUAAGGUGUACGGCUGCAAAAUUAGCUAAAAAUUUAAAAUAAAAAGUUAGCAUGCUAGAAUGCUAACAUUUAGCAUGCGUAAAGUAUCAAGUUAUAUGACUCUGUGUACGGCUGCAAAGUUGCUAAAAAAUUUAACAUAAAAUGUUAGCAUGUGUCAUGUACCAAGUUAUAUGACUAAGCAUGCUAGUAUGAGCAUGUUAACAGUUAAUAUGUGUCAAAUAUUAAACUAUAUGACUCUUAGCCGUAAGGCUGCGAAAUUAGCUAAAAAUAAAAAGUUAGCAUGCUGAUAUAAGCAUGCUAGUAUGAGCAUGUUAACAGUUAAUUUGUGUCAACUAUUAAACUAUAUGACUCUUAGCUGUACGACUUCGAAAUUAGCUAAAAAUGUAAAAUAAAAAGUUAGCAUGCUGACACAAGCAUGCUAACAUUUAGCACGUGUUAACUAUCAAGUCAUAUGACUAAGGUGUACGGCUGCAAAAUUAGCUAAACAUUUUCAAUAAAACGUUAGCAUUUGUCAAGUAUUAAAUUAUAUGACUAAAUGUGUACGGCUGCAAAAUUAGCUAAAAAUGUAAAAUUAAAAAUUAGCAUGCUAGCAUGGUAACAGUUAACAUGUGUCAAGUAUCAAACUAUAUGGCUAAGGUGUACGGCUGCAAAAAUAGCUAAAAAUGUAAAAUAAAAAGCUAAUAUAAGCAUGCUAGAAUGCUAACAUUUAGCAUGCAUAAAGUAUCAAGUUAUAUGACUCUAAUGUGUACGGCUGCAAAGUUGCUAAAAAAUUUAAAAUAAAAUGUUAGCAUGUGUCAUGUACCAAGUUAUAUGAUUAAGGUGUAUGGCUGCAAAAUUAGCUAAUCAUGUAAAAUAAAAAGUUAGCAUGCUAAAAUAAGCAUGCUAACAGUUAACAUGUGUCAAAUAUUAAACUGUAUGACUCUUAGGUGCACAGCUGCAAAAUUGGUGAAAAAAAAAAAGUUAGCAUGCUAAUGUUAGCACUAACAAGUUAGCAGCUGUGUUCCCAAUGACCCAACCCACCACCUGAGGUUUAGGGAAGAUGGGAUCAUGUGUAAGGAAGUUAUACUUUUUCAACAGAAGGGGGCGAUGUUGGUGCGGAUGUUAACGUCUUAAAGCCUCGAGUCAGUUCGAUCAUCUAAAGUGAAGUCAAGAGUUUUUGCCAUUAAGCUCCGGACACUAGGAAUGGAUACCAAAUCGGUACCGAUUUCAAAAUGAAUCGAGUUAGAAUCGGGAAGCAACAUUCCAGUUCCCGGGUUGAGAGUGAACAAUGCUAACAACACGGUCGCUAAACUUGGCGCUGAACAACAUUUUGUUUGAAAAUUCUUGUAAAAAUGUUUUAAAAAUGUAAAAUAAGUGACUUAUCAUUAAUAAUCAUAAUUAUUCCUUUACCACAGACGAGGGACGACUGUCACGGUCAUUAAAGUAACAAAGCAAUAACAUUAGGAAGUGGAAAUAAAAGCCAUAAAGUAGAGUCGAUAUAUUUAUGUUUUACUUUUGUGAUGAAUCAACAAGUUACUGUAGCAGUUGAGUGUUUUACUUUGAAAGUGUUUUAUGUGAUGUUUCUGUGUCGUGUGCUGAUAUUGAGUCCUUCCAAAAUAAAAUGACAGCACCAAAAA
Long non-coding RNA from Nerophis ophidion (straightnose pipefish), 3867 nucleotides. RefSeq lists it as uncharacterized. The transcript has 2 exons. Lineage: Eukaryota; Metazoa; Chordata; Actinopteri; Syngnathiformes; Syngnathidae. The record is from RefSeq and is a predicted model, not a curated record.